This 537-nucleotide ribosomal RNA is filed under the name uncultured Acidobacteriota bacterium. RNAcentral's name for it is "bacterial SSU rRNA". It matches the Rfam family "Bacterial small subunit ribosomal RNA", at positions 13 to 529 of the family's 1533-position model. Lineage: Bacteria; Pseudomonadati; Acidobacteriota. The record is from RNAcentral.
UUGAUCCUGGCUCAGAAUCAACGCUGGCGGCGUGCCUAACACAUGCAAGUCGAACGCGAAAGGGGAGCAAUCCCUGAGUAGAGUGGCAAACGGGUGAGUUACACGUGGGUGACCUGCCUUCGAGUGGGGGAUAACGUCCCGAAAGGGACUCUAAUACCGCAUGACAUCCUGCUUUUGGAAAAGCGGAGAUCAAAGCUGGUGAUCGCAAGACCUAGCGCUUGAAGAGGGGCCCGCGCCUGAUUAGCUAGUUGGUGGGGUAAUGGCUCACCAAGGCUACGAUCAGUAUCCGGCCUGAGAGGUCGGACGGACACACUGGGACUGAGACACGGCCCAGACUCCUACGGGAGGCUGCAGUGGGGAAUUGUUCGCAAUGGGCGCAAGCCUGACGACGCAACGCCGUGUGGAGGAUGAAGAUCUUCGGGUCGUAAACUCCUGUCGAGCGGGAAGAAUAGCUCUGGGGUAAAUAUCUCCAGAGCCUGACGGUACCGCUAAAGGAAGCUCCGGCUAACUCCGUGCCAGCAGCCGCGGUAAUAAGGU